UGCCACGCGAAGCCCUGCCCCACCUCGCCGCUGACAAGAACGGUCUGAAGCAAUCCACUCCAGCUGACGAGAAUGGUGCCAGCAUGGGGGUUACUCUCGGUCCUCAGGCAGGUGGUGUGUGUGGAAUCCAUGAGUCACAAUGGUUCUGCCGUCCAGCUGCGCCUCACAGUGGUACACAGCUGCGCCCUCCUCCACAGGCAGCACCGCCCGCACCUAUAAGAGAGAGAGAGAGGCGCCAGGCAGGGGAGGAAAGAAUGAAGUAAAGAAAGAAAGGACAAAACACACGCCUCUUUUUUCUUCUUUUUUCAUGUUUAACUCCUUCUCCUCUUUUUCCUUCUGCGUUAGCAAAGGAAAUUAUCAAAUAAGGAAAGGAGGAAUGAAAUGUGAAGAAAGAGGGGAGGAAGC
Scylla paramamosain (green mud crab) is the source of this 405-nucleotide long non-coding RNA. RefSeq lists it as uncharacterized. Lineage: Eukaryota; Metazoa; Arthropoda; Malacostraca; Decapoda; Portunidae. The transcript has 3 exons. The record is from RefSeq and is a predicted model, not a curated record.